AUUGAACGCUGGCGGCAGGCCUAACACAUGCAAGUCGAACGGUAACAGGAAACAGCUUGCUGUUUCGCUGACGAGUGGCGGACGGGUGAGUAAUGUCUGGGAAACUGCCUGAUGGAGGGGGAUAACUACUGGAAACGGUAGCUAAUACCGCAUAACGUCGCAAGACCAAAGAGGGGGACCUUCGGGCCUCUUGCCAUCGGAUGUGCCCAGAUGGGAUUAGCUAGUAGGUGGGGUAACGGCUCACCUAGGCGACGAUCCCUAGCUGGUCUGAGAGGAGGACCAGCCACACUGGAACUGAGACACGGUCCAGACGCCUACGGGAGGCAGCAGUGGGGAAUAUUGCACAAUGGGCGCAAGCCUGAUGCAGCCAUGCCGCGUGUAUGAAGAAGGCCUUCGGGUUGUAAAGUACUUUCAGCGGGGAGGAAGGGAGUAAAGUUAAUACCUUUAUUCAUGGACGUUACCCGCAGAAGAAGCACCGGCGAACUCCGU
Molecule: ribosomal RNA, 489 nt
Filed under: uncultured bacterium
Lineage: Bacteria
Description: partial 16S ribosomal RNA
Rfam family: Bacterial small subunit ribosomal RNA
Source: RNAcentral